This 505-nucleotide ribosomal RNA is filed under the name uncultured bacterium. RNAcentral describes it as "bacterial SSU rRNA". It matches the Rfam family "Bacterial small subunit ribosomal RNA", at positions 791 to 1301 of the family's 1533-position model. The record is from RNAcentral.
UAGUCCACGCCGUAAACGAUGGUCACUAGCUGUUCGGACUUCGGUCUGAGUGGCUAAGAGAAAUUGAUAAGUGACCCACCUGGGGAGUACGUUCGCAAGAAUGAAACUCAAAGGAAUUGACGGGGGCCCGCACAAGCGGUGGAGCAUGUGGUUUAAUUCGAUGAUAUGCGAGGAACCUUACCAGGGCUUAAAUGUAAGUUGCAUUAGUUAGAGAUAGCUAUUUCUUCGGACCACUUACAAGGUGCUGCAUGGUUGUCGUCAGCUCGUGCCGUGAGGUGUCAGGUUAAGUCCUAUAACGAGCGCAACCCCUGUUGUUAGUUGCCAGCAUGUAAAGAUGGGAACUCUAACAAGACUGCCGGUGCAAACCGUGAGGAAGGUGGGGAUGACGUCAAAUCAUCACGGCCCUUACGUCCUGGGCUACACACGUGCUACAAUGGCAGGUACAGAGGGUUGCGAAGGGGUGACCUGGAGCUAAUCUCAGAAAGCCUGUCCCAGUUCGGAUUGG